Tympanuchus pallidicinctus (lesser prairie-chicken) is the source of this 2012-nucleotide long non-coding RNA. RefSeq lists it as uncharacterized. Lineage: Eukaryota; Metazoa; Chordata; Aves; Galliformes; Phasianidae. The transcript has 3 exons. The record is from RefSeq and is a predicted model, not a curated record.
AGUACUUGCGGUUUUGUUGAACCUGGCUUCCUCUCCUCCAGACUAAGCAGUCUCGGAUCCUUAAGCCGCCCCCCACACGAUUCGUGCUCCAGCCUCUCCGCAGCUUCACGCCUGCUCUGGACGCCGUGCUCUGCUCCACGGCCCCAACGGCCUUUUUGAAGCAGGUGGCCCAAAACUGAACGAAUGCCCAUGUGGGUCUCUGGGCUCUGUCCAUUACCAUCAGUGCUUCACGCCCAGACUGUGCUUUGGGUUUCCCAGAGCUGCCCUGUUCCUCCUCCACUCGAUGUACUGGAGACAUCGUCACAGACGUGUCAGAUAACUGAGGAGACUUUAACAAACCUGGGUCUGAUGAAGAUCCUGCAGAGCGCUCAUUUUGUGGAAGAUGUUGGCAGUUAUUCUGUGCAGUGCACGCUCUGCUGACGGUAACCUCAAGCCUGAGGAACACCUACUACAGUACGACAGGAAGCAGAGAUGGUUCUGCUGGAGGUAUAGUCUCUUAUACCUUGCAUAUAAUGCCUCAGUCUUUCCAUGAGAAACUACUGUAGGAACCAGCAGCUCAUGGCAAGGCCAAGUGAGAGAAAAAUGGGGAUGCAGGAGGAGCAUUUGGCACACAGUUUCUAACUCCCAACAUAGAACUUAGGAUGUCCCGAGGACAUUCCUCCCUAACCAGUCUUCCUUGUUCUAAGGAGGGAAGCUGAGACAGAGAAAUAGGAUGGCUGGACAGAGACCCUGCUCUCUUGAGCAAUGAAAACAUGGAGACAGAUGCAUCUCUGGAGCUCAAGAUUCACCUGUAAGCUUUAGUGCUAUGCAGCCAACACUGGUCCACCUAGAGGUACAUGUAUGGUCCAGUGCCUCUGAGGAGAAACUGUUGCUUCAGAGCAAAUGAGGUACCAGAAGAAAAGAGAAAGGUGUUUUGAGGUCUGAUAGUUGCAGCUCUGCCUUUACACUUAUCCUCUAUGGAAGUAAGGACUGUUACUGCAGCCAUACACAGAAAGUGACUGAUGUUUAAACUGUGGAAAAGGCUGAGAACCUGUCCUUGGGUGUCAGAGCAGUCACUGGUGAAGGGUGAGGGAACAAAACCAAAAAACUAAUUCACUACUUCCUUUGAAUCAGUCAUGUCUGCAUAAAUGCCAGACUGCUAAAAGGACAAAUGCAAGUCUGCUCACUGUCAAACUGCCUUUGGUUUACUUGUUAUGGAAGGACUAGCAAAAAAAGGAAGCCGUCAGCCAAGUCGACAUUUUAUUUAGAGAUACCCACAGUAAAAUGCACAAAUACAUCUUGUUCACCGAUUUUCAGGUCACACAACUUCAAGUAUCGGAAAAACAAACUGCAGUUAAUUACAGUUAUCCGUAGAAUGGAGCAGUAGUAGAAGAUUCAUCUGUCAGACUACAUCAUGGGUAAUGACGCUCAGGUAUUUAAAAAGUGCAUGGGUCGUUGCCACAUACACUGACUCGGUUUUUCAAAGAGCAAUGUCUUUCUGGCAUGUGAGCACAGUAACACGGUUAAUAUAGGAUGGAAAAUGAAGCUCUUGAUUUGAUCUGGAAAUGCAUUCCCCAAAAGCAAAUUAAGAGCUGAGACUGAGGCAUGGGAAGUAAGCUGUAAAAAUCACAGUUACAUACUCCAUGUGGUUAAGCAACAUAGAGGUGGCCUAAAAUGAUUGUUAUUCUUCUUAUUCAGAAGACUCCUGAGCACUUGAUUGUAUUCAGCAAGCUGGCAGAAGAGCUAUAAUCAGAGAUCCAAACUCUUGCAUUCACACUGAGUUCUUUCACAACUGGAAACCUCAGUCCUCACAUUUCCAAAAUCCUGUGUUCCACUUGCAAGCACAUCAACUGGAUCACAGAUUGCUGUGUCUACUUUUGUAUUCCCAUACAGAGGAGAAAGUAGGAGGGGGUGCUGAUUUGGGAGGAGCGGCAUCGGUUUAAAGCUGUAUUUAAGUCAGAUGGAACCUGGUCUCUUUUCUCCAGUGUCUCUCCAUAGCAAGGAAGUUCAGCAGCUUGCACUGCUCCAUGCUC